UUAGUUUCGGUUAAUUAGGUUAAUUUUGAUUAAUUAAUAAACUAAUUAAACUAUAUAAGACAAAAUUAAAAGAAAACAAAAGUCAUUUUCUUCCUCACACUCAUCUUCUUCACCGAAAUGAGAAAGAAAGAUGAGGGCUUUGAGCAUUUUAACUUUUGGUCCCUCAAAUUGUUAACUACCUAUUAGAGGUGAGAUGAACAUUACCAAAAAGUGAGAUGAAUGUUGCCAACUUUCUUUAUGACUUGGAGAAGUCCACUUGGUGAGUGGGAUCUUCUUUGUCAUGUUUUCCAAUUAGAGGGAAAUUAGACCAGUAAGAAAGCAAAUGAGCAGCAAGAAGCAGAUGAUUGGUUUAGUUUUGUAAACUCUUGGUUUAUUUUCCUUAUUUUGGAAUUUGUUUUGGUGUUGUAAUAACUUUGAUGGAUGCCUACAUACUUUUUGGUUGUGUUUUUGAAAUUGAUCCGUAAUUGACAUUCAUGUUUAUCACUAUGCUUGAUGAAUAAAUAUGCAUUUUGAUAA
Molecule: long non-coding RNA, 516 nt
Organism: Gossypium raimondii (Peruvian cotton)
Lineage: Eukaryota; Viridiplantae; Streptophyta; Magnoliopsida; Malvales; Malvaceae
Exons: 2
Source: RefSeq, a predicted model, not a curated record